Molecule: ribosomal RNA, 768 nt
Filed under: uncultured Micrococcus sp.
Lineage: Bacteria; Bacillati; Actinomycetota; Actinomycetes; Micrococcales; Micrococcaceae
Description: bacterial SSU rRNA
Rfam family: Bacterial small subunit ribosomal RNA
Source: RNAcentral
GUACGGGCAGACUAGAGUGCAGUAAGGGAGACUGGAAUUCCUGGUGUAGCGGUGGAAUGCGCAGAUAUUAGGAGGAACACCGAUGGCGAAGGCAGGUCUCUGGGCUGUAACUGACGCUGAGGAGCGAAAGCAUGGGGAGCGAACAGGAUUAGAUACCCUGGUAGUCCAUGCCGUAAACGUUGGGCACUAGGUGUGGGGACCAUUCCACGGUUUCCGCGCCGCAGCUAACGUAUUAAGUGCCCCGCCUGGGGAGUACGGCCGCAAGGCUAAAACUCAAAGGAAUUGACGGGGGCCCGCACAAGCGGCGGAGCAUGCGGAUUAAUUCGAUGCGACGCGAAGAACCUUACCAAGGCUUGACAUGUUCUCGAUCGCCGUAGAGAUACGGUUUCCCCUUUGGGGCGGGUUCACAGGUGGUGCAUGGUUGUCGUCAGCUCGUGUCGUGAGAUGUUGGGUUAAGUCCCGCAACGAGCGCAACCCUCGUUCCAUGUUGCCAGCACGUCGUGGUGGGGACUCAUGGGAGACUGCCGGGGUCAACUCGGAGGAAGGUGAGGACGACGUCAAAUCAUCAUGCCCCUUAUGUCUUGGGCUUCACGCAUGCUACAAUGGCCGGUACAAUGGGUUGCGAUACUGUGAGGUGGAGCUAAUCCCAAAAAGCCGGUCUCAGUUCGGAUUGGGGUCUGCAACUCGACCCCAUGAAGUCGGAGUCGCUAGUAAUCGCAGAUCAGCAACGCUGCGGUGAAUACGUUCCCGGGCCUUGUACACACCGCC